UACGUAGGGUGCAAGCGUUGUCCGGAAUUAUUGGGCGUAAAGAGCUCGUAGGCGGUUUGUCGCGUCUGCUGUGAAAACUCGGGGCUUAACUCCGGGCCUGCAGUGGGUACGGGCAGACUAGAGUGCGGUAGGGGAGACUGGAAUUCCUGGUGUAGCGGUGAAAUGCGCAGAUAUCAGGAGGAACACCGGUGGCGAAGGCGGCAUCCUGGACCAACACUGACACUGAAAAGCGAAAGCCAGGGGAGCAAACGGG
RNAcentral lists this ribosomal RNA (253 nucleotides) under uncultured bacterium. Its description in RNAcentral is "partial 16S ribosomal RNA". It matches the Rfam family "Bacterial small subunit ribosomal RNA", at positions 524 to 776 of the family's 1533-position model. The record is from RNAcentral.